Molecule: ribosomal RNA, 718 nt
Filed under: uncultured Bacilli bacterium
Lineage: Bacteria; Bacillati; Bacillota; Bacilli
Description: bacterial SSU rRNA
Rfam family: Bacterial small subunit ribosomal RNA
Source: RNAcentral
GCAAGUCGAGCGGACCGACGGGAGCUUGCUCCCUUAGGUCAGCGGCGGACGGGUGAGUAACACGUGGGUAACCUGCCUGUAAGACUGGGAUAACUCCGGGAAACCGGGGCUAAUACCGGAUGCUUGAUUGAACCGCAUGGUUCAAUCAUAAAAGGUGGCUUUUAGCUACCACUUACAGAUGGACCCGCGGCGCAUUAGCUAGUUGGUGAGGUAACGGCUCACCAAGGCGACGAUGCGUAGCCGACCUGAGAGGGUGAUCGGCCACACUGGGACUGAGACACGGCCCAGACUCCUACGGGAGGCAGCAGUAGGGAAUCUUCCGCAAUGGACGAAAGUCUGACGGAGCAACGCCGCGUGAGUGAUGAAGGUUUUCGGAUCGUAAAACUCUGUUGUUAGGGAAGAACAAGUACCGUUCGAAUAGGGCGGCACCUUGACGGUACCUAACCAGAAAGCCACGGCUAACUACGUGCCAGCAGCCGCGGUAAUACGUAGGUGGCAAGCGUUGUCCGGAAUUAUUGGGCGUAAAGCGCGCGCAGGCGGUUUCUUAAGUCUGAUGUGAAAGCCCCCGGCUCAACCGGGGAGGGUCAUUGGAAACUGGGGAACUUGAGUGCAGAAGAGGAGAGUGGAAUUCCACGUGUAGCGGUGAAAUGCGUAGAGAUGUGGAGGAACACCAGUGGCGAAGGCGACUCUCUGGUCUGUAACUGACGCUGAGGCGCGA